AUGGCGUUGCCGCCACCACCUCUGGAGCACCUGUGGUCCAACCAGUUUAGUGCAGAUCAAGACCGUAUUGACCCCAGAGGCCCUCCAGUGAAGAGCAGCUCCUGUGCCUGUUUUUGUAAAGCCCCUGCUGACUGUGAGAAUAGUGGAGGCAGCAACUACAGACUAACAUUCGGCAAAGGAACUCUCUUAACUGUGAAUCCAGAUGUCAAGAACCCUGACCCUGCCGUGUACCAGCUGAGAAGCCCUGGAUCUAGCAGAACUUCCCUCUGCCUGUUCACUGAUUUUGAUUCUAACGCCGAUGUUCCCCAAGCCACGGGUUCCUCAGCAUUCGGCUCAAAGAGCACAGUGCUGGACAUGAGGUCCACACAUUCCAAGAGCUAUGGGGCCCUGCUCUGGAGCAACAGCACUGAUUUUGGAUGUGAAGACACCUUCAACGAGACCUUCUACUCCAGCUCAGAAUUUCCCUGUGAUGUUACGUCGGUACAGAAAAGCUUUGAAACAGACAUAAACCUGAACUUCCAAAACCUGUCCGUGAUCGGGUUCCGCAUCCUGCUGCUGAAGGUGGCCGGCUUCAACGUGCUCAUGACACUGCGGCUGUGGUCCAGCUGAGGUCACCGAGAACGUGAGAGCCCAACGCUCCUCGCUGCUCGCUCCUCACCACUGGCCUCUCCGUCAAGCAGAGAGGUGCACUCUCAGCCUCCAAGGAGGAGGAGGAGGCCCCCUUCGCAUCUGCGGCCCCUCUGGCAACGCCACCGACUAGAUCCUCCCAGAUAUUUGCGAUCAAGAUGCUGACGAUCUGUCAAACACUGCUGCCACUCCUGCCGUCCCCUCAUUGCUGCUUGUCACUGCCCGACGUCCCUGGGGGAGGCAGGGGCUGCUGCAGCCCCUCCUGGCUGUGGGACCUCCCACCCCUCCAGAGGCUGCCUCUGACAUCUCACUGGGCGAUGGAUCACCAGGGGGGUUCUCUCGGGUUUUGGCUCCUGGAGAACAAUGUGAGGAGCUUAUAUUGUUUGUACUUUUCAGAUAGUGUUCAUGAAGAAAUGCAUGUCGCCCUUUCCCCCGAGGUGUGGGGGAAACUGCCUCCCGACCGAGGCCCUGCUGUGCUGCGUGUGUGAGCCGUGUCGCGUCUGCUACUGCCCCGCUUCAUUAAAGUGAUCUGGAAGAGCC
Non-coding RNA from Artibeus jamaicensis (Jamaican fruit-eating bat), 1167 nucleotides. The record is from the annotation of a RefSeq genome assembly. NCBI's taxonomy places the organism in Eukaryota, Metazoa, Chordata, Mammalia, Chiroptera, Phyllostomidae.